RNAcentral lists this small RNA (28 nucleotides) under Bombyx mori (domestic silkworm). RNAcentral's name for it is "ovarian small RNA-28247". The record is from RNAcentral. Lineage: Eukaryota; Metazoa; Arthropoda; Insecta; Lepidoptera; Bombycidae.
UCGAAUCCGGGCCGUAAGGGAAGAUUGG